AACUAACGCUGGCGGCGCGUCUUAAACAUGCAAGUCGAGCGGAAAGGCCCGCAAGGGUACUCGAGCGGCAAACGGGUGAGUAACACGUAGGUAAUCUUCCUUCCAGUGGGGGACAACCUGCCGAAAGGCAGGCUAAUACCGCAUAUUGCCAGACCUUCCACGGUGGGUCUGAUGAAAGCAGUAAUGCGCUGGAAGAUGAGCCUGCGGCUGAUUAGCUUGUUGGCGGGGUAACGGCCCACCAAGGCGACGAUCAGUAGCCGGCCUGAGAGGGUGGACGGCCACACUGGGACUGGGACACGGCCCAGACUCCUACGGGAGGCAGCAGUUAAGAAUCUUGUGCAAUGGGCGAAAGCCUGACACAGCGACGCCGCGUGCGCGAUGAAGGCCUUCGGGUUGUAAAGCGCAAUAGACAGGGACGAAGAAAGUGACGGUACCUGUUGAAAGCACCGGCUAACUACGUG
This 461-nucleotide ribosomal RNA is filed under the name uncultured organism. Its description in RNAcentral is "bacterial SSU rRNA". It matches the Rfam family "Bacterial small subunit ribosomal RNA", at positions 29 to 507 of the family's 1533-position model. The record is from RNAcentral.